UUUGUAUGGGAAACAAACCAUGCUGUUUAUUUAACAAAAGGCAGCAUUUCAUUCCUUCUUUCCGAUCCCGUGAGACAGAUUGUAGAUCCCACGACCAAUGAGGAACAGGCAGGAGCCUGCCAGAGCGACAGGAAUAGCUACGGAUGUGACCUUAUCGUAACGACCUUUCAGGUACGUGUGCUUAUGAGUAUUCUGGAAAAUUUGCUGAUACUUCUGUAUCCUUUCCCUCGACACAAAUGGUGCUUCUGACAUCCUGGGAGAGGAGGCGAGCGCGAGAUGAGAGGAGACUCCGCAGCG
RNAcentral lists this unclassified non-coding RNA (297 nucleotides) under Hevea brasiliensis (rubber tree). Lineage: Eukaryota; Viridiplantae; Streptophyta; Magnoliopsida; Malpighiales; Euphorbiaceae. The record is from RNAcentral.